CCUACGGGAGGCUGCAGUGAGGAAUAUUGGUCAAUGGGCGAGAGCCUGAACCAGCCAAGUCGCGUGAAGGAUGACGGCCCUACGGGUUGUAAACUUCUUUUGUCAGGGAGCAAUUGGGUCCACGCGUGGGCUUAGCGAGAGUACCUGAAGAAAAAGCAUCGGCUAACUCCGUGCCAACAGCCGCGGUAAUACGGAGGAUGCGAGCGUUAUCCGGAUUUAUUGGGUUUAAAGGGUGCGUAGGCGGAAUAUCAAGUCAGCGGUAAAAAUUCGGGGCUAAACCCCGUCGUGCAGUUGAAACUGAUGUUCUUGAGUGGGAGAGAGGCAGGCGGAAUUCGUGGUGUAGCGGUGAAAUGCAUAGAUAUCACGAAGAACUCCGAUUGCGAAGGCAGCAUACCGGCUCCAUACUGACGCUGAGGCACGAAAGCGUGGGGAUCGAACAGGAUUAGAUACCCGUGUAGUC
RNAcentral lists this ribosomal RNA (460 nucleotides) under uncultured bacterium. RNAcentral describes it as "partial 16S ribosomal RNA". It matches the Rfam family "Bacterial small subunit ribosomal RNA", at positions 338 to 795 of the family's 1533-position model. The record is from RNAcentral.